RNAcentral lists this ribosomal RNA (253 nucleotides) under uncultured bacterium. RNAcentral's name for it is "partial 16S ribosomal RNA". It matches the Rfam family "Bacterial small subunit ribosomal RNA", at positions 524 to 776 of the family's 1533-position model. The record is from RNAcentral.
UACAGAGGUCUCAAGCGUUGUUCGGAUUCAUUGGGCGUAAAGGGUGCGUAGGUGGCGCCAUAAGUCGGGUGUGAAAUCUCCGGGCUUAACCCGGAGCGGCCAAGUGAUACUGUCGUGCUAGAGUGCGGAAGGGGCUACUGGAAUUCUCGGUGUAGCGGUGAAAUGCGUAGAUAUCGAGAGGAACACCUGUGGCGAAGGCGGGUCUCUGGGCCGAUACUGACGCUGAGGAGCGAAAGCGUGGGGAGCGAACAGG